Molecule: transfer RNA, 95 nt
Filed under: Curtobacterium sp. MCBD17_003
Lineage: Bacteria; Bacillati; Actinomycetota; Actinomycetes; Micrococcales; Microbacteriaceae
Description: tRNA-Arg
Source: RNAcentral
GCCCCGAUUUCACGCGAGUUGGACGCUCACGAGCGUAGCAGAAUCGUUCCGUCCUAAGGAAAGGGUUGGGGGUUCGAGUCCCUCCAGGGGCACCA